CUGACCGAGCAACGCCGUGUGAGUGAAGAAGGUUUUCGGAUCGUAAAGCUCUGUUGUAAGUCAAGAACGUGUGUGAGAGUGGAAAGUUCACACAGUGACGGUAGCUUACCAGAAAGGGACGGCUAACUACGUGCCAGCAGCCGCGGUAAUACGUAGGUCCCGAGCGUUGUCCGGAUUUAUUGGGCGUAAAGGGAGCGCAGGCGGUCAGGAAAGUCUGGAGUAAAAGGCUAUGGCUCAACCAUAGUGUGCUCUGGAAACUGUCUGACUUGAGUGCAGAAGGGGAGAGUGGAAUUCCAUGUGUAGCGGUGAAAUGCGUAGAUAUAUGGAGGAACACCAGUGGCGAAAGCGGCUCUCUGGUCUGUCACUGGCGCCGAGGCUCGAAAGCGUGGGUAGCGAACAGGAUUAGAUACCCUGGUAGUCCACGCCGUAAACGAUGAGUGCUAGGUGUUAGGCCCUUUCCGGGGCUUAGUGCCGGAGCUAACGCAAUAAGCACUCCGCCUGGGGAGUACGACCGCAAGGUUGAAACUCAAAGGAAUUGACGGGGGCCCGCACAAGCGGUGUAGCAUGUGGUUUAAUUCGAAGCCACGCGAAGAACCUUACCAGGUCUUGACACC
Molecule: ribosomal RNA, 614 nt
Filed under: Streptococcus mutans
Lineage: Bacteria; Bacillati; Bacillota; Bacilli; Lactobacillales; Streptococcaceae
Description: bacterial SSU rRNA
Rfam family: Bacterial small subunit ribosomal RNA
Source: RNAcentral